Dipodomys ordii (Ord's kangaroo rat) is the source of this 65-nucleotide non-coding RNA. The record is from Rfam. Lineage: Eukaryota; Metazoa; Chordata; Mammalia; Rodentia; Heteromyidae.
GGUGGCUCAGUGGUAGAGCUCUUGCCUUGCAUGCAUGAGGCCCUGGGUUCGAUUCCUCAGUACCA